AGUGGCGCACGGGUGAGUAACACGUAGGUCAUCUGCCUUUUAGUGGGGAAUAACACAGGGAAACCUGUGCUAAUGCCGCAUGUGUAAGUGAUUACAAAGGAGCCGCCGUAAGGGGUUUCGCUAAAAGAAGAGCCUGCGGCCUAUUAGCUAGUUGGUGGGGUAAUGGCCUACCAAGGCAACGAUAGGUAUCCGGUCUGAGAGGAUGAUCGGACACACUGGAACUGAGACACGGUCCAGACUCCUACGGGAGGCAGCAGUAGGGAAUAUUGCGCAAUGGGGGAAACCCUGACGCAGCAACGCCGCGUGAGUGAGGAAGGUCUUCGGAUUGUAAAACUCUUUUGUUAGGGAAAAAUGGUCAUGGAGCUAAUACCCCAUGAUUUGAUGGUACCUAAAGAAUAAGCACCGGCUAACUUCGUGCCAGCAGCCGCGGUAAUACGAAGGGUGCAAGCGUUGUUCGGAAUCAUUGGGCGUAAAGCGCGCGCAGGCGGAUUAGUAAGUCAGAUGUGAAAUCUCGGAGCUCAACUCCGAAACUGCGUCUGAAACUACUAGUCU
RNAcentral lists this ribosomal RNA (552 nucleotides) under uncultured delta proteobacterium. RNAcentral's name for it is "bacterial SSU rRNA". It matches the Rfam family "Bacterial small subunit ribosomal RNA", at positions 94 to 642 of the family's 1533-position model. The record is from RNAcentral. Lineage: Bacteria; Deltaproteobacteria.